CCGCGGGAUUCAUGGCUCAGAUUGAACGCUGGCGGCAGGCUUAACACAUGCAAGUCGAACGGUAACAUAAACUAGCUUGCUAGUUUGAUGACGAGUGGCGGACGGGUGAGUAAUGCUUGGGAAUAUGCCUUGGAGUGGGGGACAACAGUUGGAAACGACUGCUAAUACCGCAUAAUGUGCUUUUUGUAGAGAAAAGUACCAAAGGGGGGGCUCUUCGGACCUCUCGCUUCUUGAUUAGCCCAAGUGAGAUUAGCUAGUUGAUGAGGUAAUGGCUCACCAAGGCGACGAUCUCUAGCUGGUUUGAGAGGAUGAUCAGCCACACUGGGACUGAGACACGGCCCAGACUCCUACGGGAGGCAGCAGUGGGGAAUAUUGCACAAUGGGCGAAAGCCUGAUGCAGCCAUGCCGCGUGUGUGAAGAAGGCCUUCGGGUUGUAAAGCACUUUCAGUUGUGAGGAAAGGGUGUUGGUUAAUAGCCAACAUCUGUGACGUUAACAACAGAAGAAGCACCGGCUAACUUCGUGCCAGCAGCCGCGGUAAUACGAGGGGUGCAAGCGUUAAUCGGAAUUACUGGGCGUAAAGCGUUCGUAGGCGGUUUGUUAAGCAAGAUGUGAAAGCCCAGGGCUCAACCUUGGAACUGCAUUUUGAACUGGCAAACUAGAGUACUGUAGAGGGGGGUAGAAUUUCA
RNAcentral lists this ribosomal RNA (687 nucleotides) under uncultured Vibrionaceae bacterium. RNAcentral describes it as "bacterial SSU rRNA". It matches the Rfam family "Bacterial small subunit ribosomal RNA", at positions 1 to 671 of the family's 1533-position model. The record is from RNAcentral. Lineage: Bacteria; Pseudomonadati; Pseudomonadota; Gammaproteobacteria; Vibrionales; Vibrionaceae.